GCCGCGAUAGCUCAGUCGGUAGAGCAGAGGACUGAAAAUCCUCGUGUCGGUAGUUCAAUUCUACCUCGCGGCA
This 73-nucleotide transfer RNA is filed under the name Spirochaetes bacterium GWB1_36_13. Its description in RNAcentral is "tRNA-Phe". It matches the Rfam family "tRNA". Rfam says of the family: Transfer RNA (tRNA) molecules are approximately 80 nucleotides in length. The record is from RNAcentral. Lineage: Bacteria; Pseudomonadati; Spirochaetota. RNAcentral also lists the same sequence under 1 other name.